This 253-nucleotide ribosomal RNA is filed under the name uncultured bacterium. RNAcentral's name for it is "partial 16S ribosomal RNA". It matches the Rfam family "Bacterial small subunit ribosomal RNA", at positions 524 to 776 of the family's 1533-position model. The record is from RNAcentral.
UACGUAGGGGGCAAGCGUUGUCCGGAAUCAUUGGGCGUAAAGAGCGUGUAGGCGGCCAUGUAGGUCCGUUGUGAAAACUCGAGGCUCAACCUCGAGACGCCGAUGGAAACCAUGUGGCUAGAGUCCGGAAGAGGAGAGUGGAAUUCCUGGUGUAGCGGUGAAAUGCGCAGAUAUCAGGAAGAACACCCAUGGCUAAGGCGGCUCUCUAGUACGGUACUGACGCUGAGACGCGAAAGCGUGGGGAGCGAACAGG